UGAUGAAUUAGGAGUCACUGUGUUCAUCAAGUAUUUGUCUUGCAAUUAGUUUGCUUGUCACAAUCUAAUCCAUCAUAUAUGUUAUAUUGGCCUAGGUUUUUGGUUGCGUUUGAGCUUACUCUAUUAGAGCCUAAAAUGCACGAUUGGCACUCAUUUGAUAAUUUCACACAUAUCAGGAGCAUUUUCUACUGUUUCAUUGUCAAAAGGGAUAGAUAACAAAUUUAAGGUGCAGCAGGCCAAAAACAGCCACCUUCAAUUCCCGAGAUGGGUUCUACUUCUCAAGACCGAAAAAGGAAGCGCUUUGCAAUAGAUGGAGAGGAGGAAACAUUCAGUUUGCAGAAUCAGUUGAUUGAGGUCAUGGAAAGGAAUGGUAAAAUGCUGGCUGACUAUUUUGAGGCUCAGAAUUCUCAUUCGCAAAUGGAUAGGGAGCAGAGGAAAGAACAUUCUGAUAGCUUAAUUGUUGUUCUUAACAAGCUUGCAGAUGCUUUCAUGAGAAUCGCCGAUAAGUUGUAGGGAAGGCAAUCAGAAAUCAGUGUACAUAAGAGAAGUCUCUUCAAGACUCGUAGAUGUUAGCGGGGCUGAGAAUUGGUGGAUCAAAUUUGAUCAUUUAUCUCGUGGGAGGGCACUGACAUGUUCUUCUACUUAUUUAUUUACUUUAAAUUUUUCUCACGUCUUGUUGGUCUGUGCUACCUUUGUGGCGUAGUUCCACCAUCAAAUGCAUAGAAUCCAUACACAGAUAAUGUCUAGAAAUUUCAAAGGGUUAACACAUUUUGGCUGCUUUUUCUUAAAUGUUUAGAAUUUCAAAGAUUUAGCACAUUGUGAUGUUUUUCUUUCAUAUAUCCAGCUCUAAUGGAAUUUGAAUUCCCUGUCAAAUGUCUCGGUGACUGUACAGGUUCUUGAUAUCAAUAAGAAUGUUACAUUGUUAGUUACGUCUACUGCUGUUCCUAAUAAGUAGUGCAAAUGGAGGAGGUCCUGACUAUUAAGAACAGCUUGUCAGAAGGGCUGAGAGGGCUGGUUACAAGGCAAUAGUCCUUACUGCUGACACUCCAAGGCUCGGGCGCAGGGACACUGAUAUCAAGAACAGGUUUACUAUGCCACCAAGUUUGACAUUGAAAAACUUUGAAAAUUUGGAUCUUGGAAAGAUUGAUGAGACCAAUGAUUCUGGAUUAGCAUUGUAUGUUGCUGGACUAUUUGCCCGCUCUCUCAGCUGGAAGGAUGUGAAAUGGCUUCAGUCAAUCACUACAUUACCAAUUCUGUUAAAGGGCGUAAUUACUGCUGAGGAUAGUAAGUAAACACAUUAUUAACUUCAACCUCCUAUCCAAAAUUUACUUCUGUGCUUGAUGCUAAUACCUUGUUACAAACUUGUCAUAUAUGUGCUAACAUUAAUGCAACAAGGUUAUGCAUACAAGCUGGAGCUGCAGGAAUAAUUGUAUCCAAUCAUGGAGCUCGGCAACUAGAUUAUGUCCCUGCAACUAUUAUGGCUUUGGAAGAGUGGGCGGUAAAGGAUCAGAAAUGGUAUACCCAACAACAACUUGACGAGGUGUGCAUUGAAGUAGCCGACUACUUACAGACUGCUGUAGAUUCUGACCAGUUUCUUGAUUUUGAGUUGGACUAGCUUUUGAUUAACUUUUGUAUAGCAAUUAUGAACAAAAAUGAAUACUAAUUGCUAGGCUAGCCUUGUAGUAGGUGAGUUGAGGUUUUAUUUUGCCCAUUUUGUAAACUGUUUAGGAUGUGAUUUUAGAUAAAAUAUCCCAAUAUUCAAAUCACUCUUACUCUUGUUAACUGUCGAAAUUGCAAUUUAUAGCAGCAGCUACAUAUUCUGUGGACAUCAUCCUCUUUAUAGAAUAUGAUGACUAGAUAUAAAGUUGAAAUCAGUUUUAACCAUAAAAACUGAUGUCCAGUAAUACAGAUACAUCA
Rosa chinensis is the source of this 1917-nucleotide RNA transcript. It is a transcript of the gene named trihelix transcription factor ASR3-like, with no coding region annotated. The transcript is spliced from 6 exons. The record is from RefSeq and is a predicted model, not a curated record. Lineage: Eukaryota; Viridiplantae; Streptophyta; Magnoliopsida; Rosales; Rosaceae.